Molecule: ribosomal RNA, 195 nt
Filed under: Priestia megaterium
Lineage: Bacteria; Bacillati; Bacillota; Bacilli; Caryophanales; Bacillaceae
Description: Bacillus megaterium partial 23S ribosomal RNA
Rfam family: Bacterial large subunit ribosomal RNA
Source: RNAcentral
AGGCAUCGCUGGGUAGCUAUGUGUGGACGGGAUAAGUGCUGAAAGCAUCUAAGCAUGAAGCCCCCCUCAAGAUGAGAUUUCCCAUAGCGCAAGCUAGUAAGAUCCCUGAAAGAUGAUCAGGUUGAUAGGUCAGAGGUGGAAGCGUGGCGACAUGUGUAGCUGACUGAUACUAAUCGAUCGAGGACUUAACCAAAC